Molecule: non-coding RNA, 81 nt
Organism: Pteropus alecto (black flying fox)
Lineage: Eukaryota; Metazoa; Chordata; Mammalia; Chiroptera; Pteropodidae
Source: Rfam
AUCAUGUUCCAACGCAUUAUGUGAGUGUUCAAUCAAAGAAGUUAAGUUCUCCAGAACUGGCUCUGUCCUAAAGGUUAAAAC